This 559-nucleotide unclassified non-coding RNA is filed under the name Hevea brasiliensis (rubber tree). Lineage: Eukaryota; Viridiplantae; Streptophyta; Magnoliopsida; Malpighiales; Euphorbiaceae. The record is from RNAcentral.
GCUCAAUUUACUCAUUUAGGAGAAUAGUUUUUCUUUUUCAUUUGGGAGAGUACGGCUUACUUGUUGUUCAUUAGAACAACACGUAGGGAUGCAGUGCCUUCAUGGUUUGUUUUUCUUCUUUGAAAUUGAUGGCACAUUUUGCUUCUUUCUAAAUGAAAACUUGAUGUUUUUGCUUGAAUAGAAAGGACUAAUUCCAUUUUAAUCAAAUGUGGUUUCACUACAUGUUACAGGACGGAACAACAGUUUUUUCAAUCUACUUGAAACUAUUAGUUCCACUUUUACACAAGAUUAUGAAUAAAGUUUCUGGUAGCAAACUACUUCAAUCAAUUUUGGUUACCAUCAUUGUGAUGUUUCAGAUUUUCCAUUAGAAAACUAUGUGCAGAAUGAUUUAUUAACAAUUAAACAUGCAGAGGCCCCAAACUAUUUUCAGGUUGAACAAUGACUUUCAUUGUUCUCAUGACAUAACUUGAAUUUACACACUCCACUUCACAUUUGACCCUUUUUAAAACUGUAUAGCUGCCCUAUUUGUGUCUGAAAGUUCAAUUUUCAUCAACUCCUC